This 30-nucleotide non-coding RNA is filed under the name Rattus norvegicus (Norway rat). The record is from RNAcentral. Lineage: Eukaryota; Metazoa; Chordata; Mammalia; Rodentia; Muridae.
UAUGAUUUUACAUAAUCCACUGCAUCUUUU